UAUAUAUUUGUUGUUAGUUUUUUAAUGGAAAAAAUGUGACAAACUAAAUAAUUAAAUACGAACUAAAAACAAUAAAAUUCAACGUUUCUUUGCAAAAAUACGAUUUCAAACAGCGAAAGAAAUAUUUAAGUGUGCUAAGUGGCACUGAAGUGAAAGGAUUUGCGGAGCAAGUACAAUGUUAAUUUCCACUCACCUUUCUAAAUCUACUUUCUGUGCUCCGAAACGCAACAAUUAAAUCAACAGCAUUGCAAAUAAAUAAUUGUCACGACGACGAACGCAUGGCGAACACACACAAAACUUAUUAAAUAAAUAAUUAUAAAAACUUCGACAAAUCGCGUUUUGACCGCAAAAUCUUAUUCGAAGAAAUUUUACAAAACCGUUCAAACAAGCAAAACGACAAUAAAAAUAAAUUAAAAACACAACAAAUUUGCAACAAAGCAACGAAUUUAUUGUUGUAAUAUUUUUGACAAAUUUCUGUGCCGUGAAAAUUGUUCUAAUCUGCAAUUCAGAAUAGCGCUGAAAUGCUGAAGUGGGUUAGCACGGCGACGCGCCACAGCGCGUGGCUAUCCACAAAAAGAACAACAACAACGAAGAAUGCCAAAAAGUCAACAGCAGCAACAGUGAGUACAACAAAAACACCAGCGACAGCAGCACAAGCGCUGACCUCCAAAUCAAUAUCAAGCAAUUUCGCCAUGUGGCUGCUAACAACCGUGUGUAUAAUGGCCGCAUUAGUGCAGGUGACAAAUGGAUUUAAGCCAAUUGAUGUGAAUAACAGUGAAGGACGAAAACUCUUCGGCGGCUACCGGAUAACACCGAAGCAUUGUCGCGCCACAAAAACGUUAGCAGUGAGUGACUCACGUAGAAAUGGACCCACAAUCUGUAUGUUCAAUCACGAAUGUGCGCAACGCAAUGGCGAAGUGGUGGGCGCGUGUAUGGAUGGUUUCCUUUUUGGCGCGUGUUGUCAAAUACCCAGCGAACAGGAUCUCGAAACUACGCUGCUAAAUGAUGCACAAAACUCCUACUACCAACAACACCAACAGCAAAAGUUGCAAGAUGAAUAUGGCGGCGCCAAUCAAGCGGUGGCACAAUCUUACGAAACAUAUGGCGAGAACCAGCAACAACACACGCAAGAGACCAAAUAUAGUCCGCCAACUUUCAAGCCAAAGCCAAAGCCACAGCGCGUACAGAAACCACAACAACAACAGCAGCAGAAAUACAAACCACAAUUACCAAAACCCAUCUAUGGUAAUGUGGGGAAUACGGCUUCCGAAGAGGUUCAACCACCCGAGAACAGCUAUACGCAAACAAAUAUCGAUAAAGUCUUCCAGCAGUUGGAGAGUAGCAGUAACGCGGCCACUUCCUAUGAAGCACUGCAUACACAGCAAGAAGAUUCGCCCAAUAACAAGUACCAAUCGCAGGAAUCAGUGCCCAACACAAGCACAUUAUAUAUGAUGGAGUCGCUGGAAAGCGCACAACAGGAAUCUCUACCGUCAGUUGGACCCACUGCUUCAUUUUACGAGCAACCGCAAUCCAUGCAAGUGGAGAGUCAGCAAGCUGAUAGUCAACAGCAGGAGGAGGAAUUGCAUCAACAACAGCAGGAGAAAACACAAGAGCAGCAAAAACAACAGCAAGAAAAUCAAGCUAUUUUGUUUGAGGUCACAUCACAAUCCAAUUCAGGUAGUGCAGAUUCGAGCACGCAAUCUUCUAGCGUAGAAUUGGAAACGGACGCACAAAUGCAGCCAGAUUUAGUUGUUGCAAAUACCAAUAUUGUGCAUGUAUCGUUUACUACCGCAGCGCCACCAUUAAACGAUGACUUCGUUUUGGACCUGCUAAGCACAACAUUACCCCCACAAUUCGAAGAAGAGCCAGCCUCACUUACCACAACGGGUCUGCCAAUGCGCAUUGUGAAUGGACUCACUGAACCAAACAGUUCAUCGGAGUCAAACUCUUUUGAAGAGUUGCCAGUAACACAUAAUCCAGUGCAAAGCAACGACUGGGAAGCAAAUACCACAGAAGAAGAUUCGAAAACAGAGUCGCAAGAUCCUCAAACCGCCAAACCACAAUCCAAACCAAAACCAAAGCCACAACAACAAACCAAGAGACCACAAGUACAAAUGUUUCGGCCUCAACUACAAAGGAAACCGGGCAGACCACAACAAAACCAACAGUCACAACAGCAGAAGCAAAAACCGCAACAACAACAACAUAACCACAAUCACCUCUUACUUGACGGUGCUGAGUUCACACACAGCGACAUCACACAUCCCGGUGCCGAUGCCGACUUAAUCGAGGAUGACCUGCAAUUCUCAACUGGCUAUGGCCCACAACCGAUGUACAUGGAAGCACCUGUCCGUCAACCCUCGCCCAUCAGCUAUCAGCCUACAACAACAACGCAUACAUCAUUAGCGCCAGAAGACAAAUACAAUUUAGUACAGAGCGUCCACGAUGAGGCGGCGAGUAAAAGACCACCCACAUAUGGCGAGACUACAACGGGCACUUCCAUCACCACGCAUGUUGACUCCAUCGAAUCUAUAAUACUACAGUUGAAUGGCACCACAAACCAUGGGCCCACUUAUAAUAUUGUCAGUCAGCAACAACCACAAACGGCCGCUUAUGAUGCGAAACCCGAUGCGUCGGCAAGCAAAUAUGGACCAAACGAUAGUGGUCUACAUUAUGGCACAACUACACCUAUCACAACGGGUGAGUCAGUGUAUGGCGGUGCAACAACAAAUUAUUAUGACGAUGUGGAGACCAAACGUCCGGAUGAUUACUAUAGUGAAAGUGAACAAUCCAAUACGCCAAACUACUCACCCGUCACAGCGCAAGUACCCGCUUAUUUGGAGCCCGUGAGCACUGACCUACAUCCCUCACAACAACAGCCUGAACAUUCGUACGUGUCGAAGCCUGUCACACACGAGGUACAUAGCGCAACAACCGCUGUCAACUAUGCGGAAGAUGCUGCCGCUGCGCAAGAUGAACACACGAUGCCGGCAAAUAAUUAUAACGAUGUACUGCAAGCGUCAUCACACCAAACGCACGAGUUUAAUAAAAUGCCCGCGCUCGGUAUUGCGUAUCCAGUUGAUAUGUCACAUAUGGAGGAAGAGGGUAGCUUUGCACCAGAUAUUGCAAACAAUUACGGUCAUAAGCAACAUGCAACCACGCAGGGCACAAUCGACAAAAUAGAUGAAGCAGAAACAGCAGACUCUAGCUAUGCGCAGGUACCAAUUAUUAGUGGGAAACCACAACGUCCCGUAGCGCCAUACAACGGUAUGGUGAAUGUGCAGAAUUACAAUGGCGCCAAAUUGCCAACAACCGUUGUGUACAACGAUGUGCCUCAAGAAGUAUCUGUUUCUUCGCAUGCGACUAAAGUACAAGAUACACAAGCGCCUGCCGCGUCCUAUCAUACACCCAAACCAGACACCUUAACUACAAUCCAAUAUGUCGACGAAAGCACUGUCGCACAACGUCCAACAAUUAGCAAAACGACCGCGUCGGCCUAUUUGACUCCAACUACCACGCCGAUCCCACAACGUCCGCAAUAUAAUGCUGCAUCUGCUGUUACCUCAACAGCACGUCCUAUUUCCGGUAUAAUCACCUCAAGCGGUACCAGACCACGCCCUCGGCCACGCCCAAAACCGAGUACGACACGACCAAAUAACAAAAAGACGAAACCGAGUGCAGCAAAGAAACCGACCACAGCAAAGCCUUUGAGCAAUUACAGCCAGACACCAGCGCAACCUGCCAAUAAUUACGGCGGCGGUCAGGUACAAACAAAGAAACCAGCUGCACUACCUUCGAACAACUAUCAAGGUUCAAAUCAUAAUAACAAGAAACCAGCCACACAACCCUCUAACAGUUAUCAAGCGUCAAAUGUUAAUACAAAGAAACCAGCAGCGCAACUCUCGAGCGACUAUCAAGAACCCAACUACAAUACGAAGAAUCCGGCACAACAAGCAUCUAACACCUACAAUGACAACGCUGCAGAGAAUGGUUAUGCGCAGAGCCCAGUACAAGCCUCGCACGCCCAAACCCAACAACCUGCGAAGAAACCAUCGAAACAACCCACCAAACAAUCUGUGAAGCGGCCAGUGAAACAACCGGCCACCACCUACCAGCACAACAAGCCGACAUACGUAAAGCGUCCGACUGCAGCGCCACAGCUCAGCAAUAACAAUAGCGCGAAACCCGCUACAAACACCUACAAUGCAGAACCGGUUUAUCAGAGACCAGAGCAGCGACCCACUUACAAUGCAGAGCCUGUGACCAGGAAACCCGCAUACAAUGAUAAUGAGCAAACGAAUACUUAUGCUUCAACAACGGCGACACGUAAACCCAUCAGUCACACGGCAGCCAUCUACGAUGAUCAUGUGGAUGAACAAAAUGUGCCCGCUGAUGCCCAAUUGCCAACAGACAACUACGACACAUAUUCUCAGGAUACCAAACUAACUUCACAAGACUAUGGUCAAGAUUAUGACAAACCGGAUGCUGCUUACGAUCAAAAUCUUAAAGUACCACAACCAACUUUCGAAACGGACGCCUAUUAUCCAGCACCACAACCGUCCAACAACUUCAAUCAAGAACAUUUAGACAGCUCUACACAUCGACCCAUCAUUGUACGCAAACCAAGUGUAGAAAGCGCAGCACCAGCCAUAUCUCGUCCGACUACAACAUUUAUUUAUCACGACUCCGAGGUACCGCCAAUCGUAACUGCGGACGAUAAGCUGGACGUUUUUGUACAUGGUACUGUGCAGUCGCAAGUAUACGGCGGUGAUGCUAAGCCACAAUACGCCGAUCGUCCACAAUAUACAUACGUGCAUAAAAAACCAGGCUUCGUGAAGGUGACAUCAAAACCCAUAUCCACCACUAACGGUGUUAUUACACCCAAGCCAACGCUGUUCACACUCAUCACAAAUAGCGAUUGGCCGCAUAGACCGAGCAGCGCCGACACGAUCUUCGAUGAUAACGCAUUCCCACCAACAACGCCAUUGCCCGGCUUCAGCAGCACAUCAUAUAUUUAUAGUCCGGUAGUGACGCGACGUCCUAGCGUGGCUAUAAAUACGCCCGAAUACGUCAACCUAGCCGGUGUCACAACGAAUGACUUCGAUGAUCCAGGUUAUUAUGGUGCGCAGAAUGUCGGACAAAACGUUGCACAGAAUGGCGUACAUCCAGCCUUCACGCAAUCGAUCGCCGAUACAGAGUAUGGUGUGCCCUCCGAUGAUCGUCCUGCCUUCCCAGGCUACUAUGGUCCAACACCAACUUAUCCGCCUUUCGCCAUACCUGGUGAAAAACUUGGGGCGCCAGUUGAGGAGGAAACCUACACAUCACCCAAUGACUUUGUGAACUUCCCACCUGUACGUAAUCCCAACCUUAACAUGUCGGCAACAUCGAGCGCCGUCACCACCGAUUUGGAACUCUCGACACCCGCCUUCGUCGAAGAUGGUGUUUUGAAGGAUAAAAUGAAUACUUUAGUACAUAAGAUUGUCGAAUCACUGCAGGGUAACUUCGACGCGCUGGCAGAUAUGAUUGACGAAACAAAUAAUACCGCACCAGCUGGACCACCAUCCACAUAUCAAGCCGCCGGCGCAAACGCUGGUAGCGCGGCUACGACACGCAAACCCACAAGAAAACCAACACGUAUAGCCACACAGAAACCGACCACCAGGCGACCUGCAAUACGUGUCACCACCAAACAACCGACACGUCGACCAGCAAUCACCACCAGACGUCCGGCUACGAGACGUCCCACAACAACCACACGACGACCAACUACGCGCAAGCCGACACGUCGUUUAACAACCACAACAACAACGCAGGCACCAGCCCAAGAUGAAUUGGUUGACGAAGAGGACGAAGAAGAUGUUAAUCCAUUAGAUAAUGAGAUCGGUGACCAGGAUGAAGUUUACGCUGGUGCUGGUGGACGCAAAUUUAUGCGUCUGUUCAACCAAAUAUAUGCCCUCCUUUAAAACAAGCCUCCAUUUAAAGAAUAUUUCAUAAACGAAUUCCCAUCCUUCUUUGAAAAAAAUAUUCCCAAUAAACUUAAAAAUCCAACCCUUAUAAGCUCAUCAAUUUUUACUUUCCCCACUUUAACCUCACUUAUCAGCUCCAACAUUUUUUUACCAACUUCGCCAUAUCAUCUCUUAUACUUGCCCUCUUAAACUUGCCUCUGUUUGAACCAAACUCAAUCGCAAAAAAAUUCUCUUGCCUACUUCACCUAUUUCACCGUGCUCAUCUCAUUUCACCUCCUCCAACUACAUACAGUCCGAAGAUAUGUCAUUCAAGUUUCUCCCCGUGAAACUCAAUCUUAAUUCUCAAGUUCAUUGAAAUUUUUCAAAACUUAAGCAGUUCCACAAUUAUCACAAAGCAUUUUCAUCCACCAAAACACCUUCACCAUUACCAAUAUCCACCUCGGCAUCAUAACAGUUAAUCAAUCGCAUCACCAUCCACCACCGACCAGCGUCACCUCGCAAAACACUCAUCUAUGCUGUUGCUAUACUCUCCCUUACCUCCUAACCUCACAUUUCACUCCCCAUCGACAGAAUGCGGCGUACGGCCACACAUCAAAUCUGGCAGAAUUGUAGGCGGCAAAGGUUCCACAUUCGGCGCUUACCCAUGGCAAGUGCUCGUACGUGAAUCCACAUGGUUGGGACUUUUUACCAAGAACAAAUGUGGCGGUGUUUUGAUAACGAAUCGUUAUGUCAUCACAGCGGCGCAUUGUCAGCCAGGUUUCCUGGCCUCAUUAGUCGCUGUUAUGGGUGAGUUUGAUAUCUCAGGCGAUUUGGAGAGUAAACGUGCUGUUACGAAGAAUGUGAAACGUGUCAUUGUUCAUCGUCAAUACGAUCCUGCGACUUUCGAAAAUGAUUUGGCGUUGCUUGAGCUUGAGAGCCCAGUACAAUUUGACACACAUAUUGUGCCAAUUUGUAUGCCCAACGAUCUAGCAGACUUCACCGGUCGCAUGGCGACAGUCACCGGUUGGGGACGUCUCAAGUAUGGCGGCGGCGUGCCCUCUGUUUUGCAGGAAGUUCAGGUGCCAAUAAUUGAGAACAGCGUCUGUCAGGAGAUGUUCCACACGGCGGGACACAACAAAAAGAUUCUGGGCUCAUUCCUGUGUGCCGGCUAUGCAAAUGGGCAAAAGGACUCGUGUGAGGGUGACAGCGGUGGUCCAUUGGUGCUGCAGCGACCCGACGGUCGUUACGAAUUAGCCGGCACUGUAUCGCACGGUAUCAAAUGUGCGGCGCCAUAUCUGCCCGGUGUAUAUAUGCGUACGACAUUCUACAAACCGUGGCUGCGAAGCAUAACGGGUGUCAAAUAAAUAACGUGCACAGCGAAAAGCAACACUCGAGCAACAAAAACAAAAGUACAUAAAGCAACGCAAUAGCAAUAACAAUACCAACAUUGUCAUUAUACAUAUUAAAUACAGUUAGCUAGGUAUAUAAAAACGAAUAUAAUUAUGGUACAUAAGUAUAUAAGUGCGUGUAAACAGCGCACAACAACAACCAUAGUAAAUAUAAAGUUAGUGAAAAUUAUGUGUACGAAAAAAAACAGAAAAAUGUAUGUAAAAAUGUGAACAUAGCGAAAAUGUAAAAAGCAAACAAAGAAAAUGUGUGCAAAAUGAGAUUUAAAAGUUGGCGAAAAGCAAGCGUCGAAAUGAAUAUGCCGUUGUAAGUCGAGAAAAUACACACAUACACAGCAGCGAGCGCGCGAAAUGAGAAAUAGCGCAAAAAUUCAGUUAUACAAAACGAAGAAAAAUUAUUAAUGGAAUUAUGUUUAGACGGUUGAAAGGUGUACCUUCUCACAUACAUAAAUACUGCACGGUAGCGAAAUUUACAUUUUUCACAGUUUAAGAUUUUUUACACCUGCUUUUCGCGCAUAAUGUUCAAAGCUUGUAAAAAAGCCUGUGCUCCCAAAAUAGCUACCGUUAAUAUGUCUCUUGUCAGGUCAGCGCCUGCGGGUAUGCAGUGUUUUAUUUUUUUUUUUUGUUACCUUAAUGAAAGCCCGUAGCUUUGGCGCUCACGCAAUUUUCCACUUAAAUCUAUGCUAUACAAUGAUUACAGGUAUUGUUUUCAUUUAAUAGCAUACUUUUUGGCGCAAUGCACAGCAUUCGGCGACACUUGAGAGCAAACGCAGCGCAUUAUAUUUAUAGAAAUCGCAGCAUUUUCAACAACAACAAAAUUUUAGAUAAUUUUCCAACUGGGGCUUGGGUGGGUUAAGAGAAAUUGCGUGUAAUUUCAUAGCUAAAAUGCAAUAAAAAAAUUGUGCCUAAUUAGUCUGAAUGUUUAAACGCAAUUUGAUGUUUUGUCUUAGUGUUAAAGUAAUUUUACGCAAUUGAAGCAACAAAAACAUAUAAAUAUUAUAUUGUUAGUUAAUUUUACAAACACAAAUUGUAUGAAGUAGCAAGCAGGCGUUGAGUUAUUUAUAAUUUAUUUUUACACUAAAAUAUUUAUUGCAUACUUUUAAGCGCCCAAACUAUUUAUUGAAUUAUUUAUUUAUGAGUCUAUAAUUUAUUUAGGCAUUUCUAAAAUAAUAUUUAUUUGACAAA
This is a non-coding RNA of Bactrocera oleae (olive fruit fly), 8536 nucleotides long. Lineage: Eukaryota; Metazoa; Arthropoda; Insecta; Diptera; Tephritidae. The record is from RefSeq and is a predicted model, not a curated record.